GCCGGGUGUGGUGGUGCGCGCCUGUAGUCCCAGCUACUUGGGAGGCUGAGGCAGGGGAAUUACUUGAAGCCAGGAGGCGGAGGUUGCAGUGAGCCCAGAUUGUGCCACUGCACUCCAACCUGGCAACAGAGUGAGACUCUGUCUCAA
Molecule: non-coding RNA, 147 nt
Filed under: Chlorocebus sabaeus (green monkey)
Lineage: Eukaryota; Metazoa; Chordata; Mammalia; Primates; Cercopithecidae
Source: Rfam by way of RNAcentral